AGCUCAUGCAAUUAUGAAGAUGGCACGAGCUCGCGUGCAUCAUCAAAAAGUCGGCGGGAGGAUUUUGGGUUACCUCCGCCGAUUCGGUCGCCCUAUAUAGCCGCCUUCACCUCACCGUCUUAACUCCCACCAUCAUUCUCCCCCCUUUCAAGCUUUCCCUCCAACGUGGAUUAGCACCGUCUAGCAGGUAAACAGUGCUUCUUCUCUGCGGCCGGUAGUCCACGACGGCGAUGACUUGCAUGUCCUCCUCUUUUCCGACCUGUUCUGUGUCUCCCUCGAGCUGCGUGAUGGCAUAUGUGAGUUCAAUCAUCCUGCUUCUAAGUACCUGUUCUAGUUAAAUCUGAGAGCAUGUGAUAGAGUUUGAUCCGUGACCAUCUUGUAGCAUUGUACAUUGCCGAUCUAUAAGAAUGUGACCAUCAUCUUGUAGUAUUGUACACUGACCAUCUUGUGCCAUCAUGCGUAUACGGACGGACGAGCACAUGACGGGUCAUGUCAAUGGCCGCAGCUCAGUUGAUCAGCCGUUCCCGGUUAGAAACCGAAUAAUAAUAAGUGAGUUCUGGUACCGCAAAGUCACGUCGUUGGUAGCAGCAGUUAACCCCAACACAACCACUUUUUUACCGGAGGCGGGAUGUACCGGAGCCGCAUCCGCCGUUGGCGUUGUUUGCGAUUCGUGCCUUCCGAUGGCCCACAUGUUUGUAUAUUAGCGUAUUCAUCUGCCCGAGCCGCUGUAUUGCCCAUUACGUCCUAUCAUUGGUUGGCCCUACUUUAUAUUUAGCUCCUUGUUUUUACCCCCCUCAGUUCUCACCCACCCCCCGCGACCCUAUCUUCUUCUUCCAUCGGCGUCCAUGAUUCAUCCGUCGCCAUCUCCUCCGUCGCCGGGCCGCGUUCUUAGCGGCUGAACUGGUUGAUUUCUUCCCCGCCGCCUCCGCCGCCGGGGCCGCGUUCUUGGCGGCUCACCACUCGCAUUUCUUCCCCUCCGACUGACCGACUUCCGCCGCCCUCAUUAGUUCGUCAAGAUGACUAAUUCUGCACGCCGUCGCCGGAAAUCUCCAACCUUUCAUACAACUAACUCUGAUGAAAGUUGUAGUGUGGACAUGAGUGAUAGUGACGGCUCGUCUCAAUCAAAAUCAACCAGGAAUAGCCGUAGAAGAUCUCCCAAGAAACUUAAGAGAGAAGCUACCGCCCAAGUUAAGCAGAUCAUCAACUGGAAAUGUGAUCCAAACAAGAUAAGCGCCAUUAUGAAAGUCCUUUGUCAAGGAAAAGUUCUGCUUGUGUUUCAUGGAAGUCAUUCUUUGCGCCUACUUAGCUCCAACGACUGGUUACCAAAUUAAUAGAAGUUACCUGCUAGGAGCUUUGAAGGACUUGAGCGACAUACCUCGUAUGAAUUGGUGUCGUUUUGCUGCUGAGUACCUUAUCAAGGCAAUUCGUGAGUCAAGGGAAAACAAAGUGCACAACCUGAAUGUCGGAGGAUGCAUUCAUAUUCUACAUCUCAUAUAUGUGGACCUACUUAAAUCAGAUUUAGUAACAAUACCAGAGGGUUGCCCAAGGAUUAAAUAUGUGGGUUCAGCGGUACUGGAACAAAUCGAUCAUACUGGACGAUGAAAAGUUAGCAAUGUUCCCAACUGAGGAAGACCAUAAUGAUGAUCUUGAUGAUAACGACAAAUCUACACAUUCCACCCCACCAGUAACAGCUAAUAUAAGUACUGUACCUUGCCAGGAGAAACAAAGAAUUCCUCCACAGGUAGUACAAGCUUCAAGAAAGCGUCCGUCACAUCA
Triticum aestivum (bread wheat) is the source of this 1776-nucleotide long non-coding RNA. RefSeq lists it as uncharacterized. NCBI's taxonomy places the organism in Eukaryota, Viridiplantae, Streptophyta, Magnoliopsida, Poales, Poaceae. The transcript has 5 exons. The record is from RefSeq and is a predicted model, not a curated record.